Molecule: long non-coding RNA, 1815 nt
Organism: Frieseomelitta varia
Lineage: Eukaryota; Metazoa; Arthropoda; Insecta; Hymenoptera; Apidae
Exons: 4
Source: RefSeq, a predicted model, not a curated record
AGAAAAUCAUUUUAUGAAUGUUAUUGAGUUCAACGAUCCUCCCAUGAUCCAAAUGAACAUUCACUGAAAUGCAGUCGACGUGAUUUGACAUUCGUAGUUAUCCUCAAUUUAAUUCGUUGUAUAAAUGUCCUGCGAAAUCAGUUUCUGCACUUCCUGCUACGUCAAAUCUGACAUAAGUUGAUCCAACUUUUAAAAUAAAUAACAAUGUAACCUCAAAACACAAAAUGUAUUAAAUUUAAAUGAUAAUGUAAAUUUAUUUAAUUUAUCGUGGAAUUUUGUAAAUUCGUAAUUGGAAGUCACAUGGUUUUAAUGAUGCCGCAUAUUAGGAAAGUUUGGAAUUCUAUUUGUAAAAGGGUCAGGAUAAAACGUGGAAAUGAUUUUCGCAUAAAUCUGCCUUCAAGAAAAUCUAAUUGUAACGUGUGAUACAUUCCCAUUGUGUAAGAGGGGCCUGAUUACAUUUAUCCUGGCAUACUAACACUGCAAAUAAUUCGAGCAUCGCGUGCUAUCCGUAAGUAACCAUAGUUCUGUAAUUCGCACGCGUUUUGAACGAUCAUUAACCUGGUCUCUAAGCUGAUCAUAAAAUUUCGAAGGAAAAAGGAGGAAGAUCGAAACGGCGAUCGUUCUGUUCAAUGGAGGUUCCAGUUAUUAAAUUAAGGGUAUCGUUCACUCCAAGUUUUACGUGAGAGCGCUCGUUGAUCUGGGACGCACGCAGGUAAAUAUGUAAUUUCCUGUUAUUCAUAGACAAUCGUCUGGGUAUCCUGGAUUAAAACCGAUCAUUAGAUGGUUGCACGCUAAAGGGGGAGGUUACCACCGUAGAAGGUGGAAACUCGCGGAGGCGUCUGCAUCCCGGGUCAUUUCAGGUCGAAAGUUCGUCGGGCCAUACGUCUCUAUACAUAGAAGCGACUGAAUCACCCCCUUCUCCCCUUGAUGCUUCCACCCUUUCCUCUCUUUCUCGCACAUCCUGUCCCGUGGACUGACAGCUGAAGCCAGAAGUGACUGAAAUAUUCAUUGGCGCAAGGCGAACGAGGCGCGACUGAACGUCGAUCUGUCAACCUCUUUGACUAUAUAAAUAUGGAUUGCCAUCGAGCUUUCGCGCGUUAUAUAGAUUUAUAGCGAAGAAGGCAAUGUUUUCAACAUUUUUUGGCUCACCGAUGGAAAUUUCACGCGUUAAUUUUAGCAUCAGCGGGAAAUUAAGAUUGAAACGAGUGCCUUUUGAAAUGAAAAUUGAAUUGAAAAGAUGUGUGCAUGUAUGUUGUACAAAGAUCACAGGAUAACAGAAAAGCACUAUGACAUUUUAAUAUCAUUUUAUGAAAAAAAAUUAAAAAAAUGUAACAAAACUUGGCCUUCAUGUUUUUUAUUUAUUAUAAGUAUUACGUUAAACAUAUCAUGAUGAUAUAAUUCAUGUAAAUUUAAAUGAAACGAUAUCUCUGUCAGAGUAUUAUCAAGGGAUUACACUUCCACGAGUUUCGGGGAACGACAGAUCAUCAGGACUGCCGAGAAAUUUAAAGAGACGGACACUUUGCAUCACGAAAAUCGUAAAAAUAUAACUGUUAAUAGCCGUAUACACAUGUCCUCAUUUAACAACACAGUAGGUAUCUUUUCUCUGAAAUUCACUUUUCUAAUUUACGUUUAAUACGAUUAAAAUUUGAAGAGAAAUUAAAAUCAUUUCAAAUGCUAUUCUUGAACCAUCCAAUGUCUGACUAUAUCUAAUCACAUUGUACUUCCUUUAAUGCAAUUUUUAAAUUCAUUUAUUCCUCUAAGUGACAUUAAAAACACCUGCAUAAUUAAAUCCUUGGCUUAUAACUUGGAGUUGUA